Dermacentor albipictus is the source of this 250-nucleotide long non-coding RNA. RefSeq lists it as uncharacterized. Lineage: Eukaryota; Metazoa; Arthropoda; Arachnida; Ixodida; Ixodidae. The record is from RefSeq and is a predicted model, not a curated record.
GGAAUGCGGGCGACUUUUGCCCGACAAACCGUGCCGAAGGUGCGCGGACCUGGUGAUUUGGUAGCAUGGUAUACAUUAACUCAAGCUACUCUGUUUAGAGGCUGGCCUUGCCGUCGGCAUGAUCUUGGUGGGAUCACAUGCGAAUGCCUCACCCUGGCCACCACCACUGUUGGCAACCAUAAGAUUAUCAGCGAACAGCAGCAGCACCACGACAGAAAGAGACUUUGACAGGGGCGCGAUUUUGGCAGAG